GACGAACGCUGGCGGCGUGCUUAACACAUGCAAGUCGAACGGAAAGGCCCUGCUUUUGUGGGGUGCUCGAGUGGCGAACGGGUGAGUAACACGUGAGUAACCUGCCCUUGACUUUGGGAUAACUUCAGGAAACUGGGGCUAAUACCGGAUAGGAGCUCCUGCUGCAUGGUGGGGGUUGGAAAGUUUCGGCGGUUGGGGAUGGACUCGCGGCUUAUCAGCUUGUUGGUGGGGUAGUGGCUUACCAAGGCUUUGACGGGUAGCCGGCCUGAGAGGGUGACCGGCCACAUUGGGACUGAGAUAGGGCACAGACUCCUACGGGAGGCAGCAGUGGGGAAUAUUGCACAAUGGGCGGAAGCCUGAUGCAGCAACGCCGCGUGCGGGAUGACGGCCUUCGGGUUGUAAACCGCUUUCGCCUGUGACGAAGCGUGAGUGACGGUAAUGGGUAAAGAAGCACCGGCUAACUACGUG
RNAcentral lists this ribosomal RNA (468 nucleotides) under uncultured bacterium. RNAcentral describes it as "partial 16S ribosomal RNA". It matches the Rfam family "Bacterial small subunit ribosomal RNA", at positions 28 to 507 of the family's 1533-position model. The record is from RNAcentral.